CCUGUGCACCCAGGUCACUCGUCUCGACUCGGAAAAAACUCUCAUCUUUCUUUUGAGCCAAGAACUGUGUUUUGAGUGGGCUCCUCUGGCCAAGCAGAACCCGGGACCAUCUGGCCAGGGGCAGCAGAGCCCACACGGAGGUGGGCCCUCCCUCUGUCAAUCACUAACCAAGGUGUGCUCGUAGGCCAGUCGGAUGGAGGCAUUUUCUCAACUGAGGUUUUUCUUUCUCAGAUGACUUUACCUUGUGUCAACCUGACAAAAAGCUAACCACCACACUAUGUGAACCUCCCUGCAUCCUGAAUUCGGGUGAGAAUUAAAGGAACUCAUAGACAUGGAGAAUUAGAUCCAGCAAAGAAGCAGUCAACAGAAAGACUGGGCAAUCUGCAUCAUGAGGGAAAAUAUUUGUGAAGCCACGUUAUCAGUCCUUCGCAUUCUCUGGUCCCACAGAGUGAACUCAAUAAACCUUGGGUUGAAAAUCGGGGAUGUGUGGAUUUUUUUUGUAACUAUUCUAUAAAUAAUACAACUAUUUAUGUUUCGUUUGAAUUAAAAGUAACCCAGAGAUUAUUAAAGUAUGUGCACAUUAUAAUAAGC
This 591-nucleotide long non-coding RNA is filed under the name Rattus norvegicus (Norway rat). Its description in RNAcentral is "long non-coding RNA NONRATT003988". Lineage: Eukaryota; Metazoa; Chordata; Mammalia; Rodentia; Muridae. The record is from RNAcentral.